Molecule: ribosomal RNA, 303 nt
Filed under: Salmonella enterica subsp. enterica serovar Cerro
Lineage: Bacteria; Pseudomonadati; Pseudomonadota; Gammaproteobacteria; Enterobacterales; Enterobacteriaceae
Description: partial 23S ribosomal RNA
Rfam family: Bacterial large subunit ribosomal RNA
Source: RNAcentral
UGAAAUGUUUGUGAUGAUGCAAUCUCCCCGCGGAAAGACGGAAAGACCCCAUGAACCUUUACUGUAGCUUUGUAUUGGACUUUGAACAGAUCUGUGUAGGAUAGGUGGGAGGCUUUGAAGUGCGGUCGCUAGAUCGCAUGGAGCCAACGUUGAAAUACCACCCUGGUGUGUUUGAGGUUCUAACCUAGGCCCAUUAUCUGGGUCGGGGACAGUGCAUGGUAGGCAGUUUGACUGGGGCGGUCUCCUCCCAAAGUGUAACGGAGGAGUUCGAAGGUACGCUAGUUACGGUCGGACAUCGUGACG